This 467-nucleotide ribosomal RNA is filed under the name uncultured bacterium. RNAcentral describes it as "bacterial SSU rRNA". It matches the Rfam family "Bacterial small subunit ribosomal RNA", at positions 30 to 476 of the family's 1533-position model. The record is from RNAcentral.
AUUGAACGCUGGCGGUAUGCUUAACACAUGCAAGUCGAGCGUGAUUCUUAGGAGUGGAGACUUCGGUUGAAGCGAAUAAGAUGAAAGCGGCGGACGGGUGAGUAACGCGUGGGCAACCUGCCCCAUACAGCCGGAUAGCCACUGGAAACGGUGAUUAAUACGGCAUAAGACCACAGUACCACAUGGUACAGCGGCCAAAGAUUUAUCGGUAUGGGAUGGGCCCGCGUCUGAUUAGCUAGUUGGUGAGGUAACGGCUCACCAAGGCGAUGAUCAGUAACUGGUGUGAGAGCACGACCAGUCACACGGGCACUGAGACACGGGCCCGACUCCUACGGGAGGCAGCAGUAAGGAAUAUUGGUCAAUGGAGGCAACUCUGAACCAGCCAUGCCGCGUGGAGGAUGAAGGUCCUCUGGAUUGUAAACUUCUUUUAUAUGGGACAAAAAGGCUUUUCUAAGUCGUCUGACGGU